GUGGGGAAUCUUAGACAAUGGGCGCAAGCCUGAUCUAGCCAUGCCGCGUGAGUGAUGAAGGCCCUAGGGUUGUAAAGCUCUUUCAGCUGGGAAGAUAAUGACUGUACCAGCAGAAGAAGCCCCGGCUAACUCCGUGCCAGCAGCCGCGGUAAUACGGAGGGGGCUAGCGUUGUUCGGAAUUACUGGGCGUAAAGCGCACGUAGGCGGACCGGAAAGUCAGAGGUGAAAUCCCAGGGCUCAACCUUGGAACUGCCUUUGAAACUCCUGGUCUUGAGGUCGAGAGAGGUGAGUGGAAUUCCGAGUGUAGAGGUGAAAUUCGUAGAUAUUCGGAGGAACACCAGUGGCGAAGGCGGCUCACUGGCUCGAUACUGACGCUGAGGUGCGAAAGCGUGGGGAGCAAACAGGAUUAGAAACCCGUGUAGUCC
RNAcentral lists this ribosomal RNA (425 nucleotides) under uncultured bacterium. RNAcentral describes it as "partial 16S ribosomal RNA". It matches the Rfam family "Bacterial small subunit ribosomal RNA", at positions 354 to 796 of the family's 1533-position model. The record is from RNAcentral.